CCCUUAGAUGUUCUGGGCCGCACGCGUGCUACACUGAGUGGAUCAGCGGGUCAGGUUGCGCGAAAGCGUUUCCUAAUCUUUAAAUCCGCUCGUGAUGGGGAUUGACGGUUGCAAUUUUCUGUCAUGAACGAGGAAUACCUUGUAAGCGCGGGUCAUCAUCCCGCGCUGAAUACGUCCCUGCCCUUUGUCACACCGCCCGUCGCUCCUACCGAUUGAGUGGUCCGGCGAGGCUUUGGGAUCUGAGCGGAAAGAGCGUUUCGCUGUUUCUGCUCGGAAAACUCAGUCGAACCUUAUCAUUUAGAGGAAGGAGAAGUCGUAACA
Molecule: ribosomal RNA, 321 nt
Filed under: uncultured eukaryote
Lineage: Eukaryota
Description: partial 18S ribosomal RNA
Rfam family: Eukaryotic small subunit ribosomal RNA
Source: RNAcentral